RNAcentral lists this ribosomal RNA (253 nucleotides) under uncultured bacterium. Its description in RNAcentral is "partial 16S ribosomal RNA". It matches the Rfam family "Bacterial small subunit ribosomal RNA", at positions 524 to 776 of the family's 1533-position model. The record is from RNAcentral.
GACGAACCGUCCGAACGUUAUUCGGAAUCACUGGGCUUAAAGGGUGCGUAGGCGGCCAUGUAAGUGAGGUGUGAAAUCCCUCGGCUCAACCGAGGAACUGCGCUUCAUACUGCAUGGCUUGAGGGAGACAGGGGUAAGCGGAACUGAUGGUGGAGCGGUGAAAUGCGUUGAUAUCAUCAGGAACACCGGUGGCGAAAGCGGCUUACUGGGUCUCUUCUGACGCUGAGGUACGAAAGCUAGGGGAGCGAACGGG